Molecule: ribosomal RNA, 735 nt
Filed under: Clostridium sp. HMSC19A11
Lineage: Bacteria; Bacillati; Bacillota; Clostridia; Eubacteriales; Clostridiaceae
Description: bacterial LSU rRNA
Rfam family: Bacterial large subunit ribosomal RNA
Source: RNAcentral
CUUUAGAUAUGAUCCAGAGUACCACGGGACACGUGAAACCCUGUGGGAAGCAGGAGGGACCACCCUCCAAGGCUAAAUACUACCUAGUGACCGAUAGCGUAUAGUACCGUGAGGGAAAGGUGAAAAGAACCCCGGGAGGGGAGUGAAAUAGAACCUGAAACCCUGCACUUACAAGCUGUGGAAGCACAUUUCUUGUGUGACCGCGUACUUUUUGUAGAACGGGCCAACGAGUUACGUUAAGUAGCAAGGUUAAGCACUUAAGGUGUGGAGCCGUAGCGAAAGCGAGUUUUAACUGAGCGUUCAGUUACUUGACGUAGACCCGAAACCGGGCGACCUACCCAUGAGCAGGAUGAAGCGAAAGUAAAAUUUCGUGGAGGUCCGAACCCACGAGCGUUGAAAAGCUCGGGGAUGACUUGUGGGUAGCGGUGAAAUUCCAAUCGAGCCCGGAGAUAGCUGGUUCUCCCCGAAAUAGCUUUAGGGCUAGCCUCAAGGUGAGAGAUACGGAGGUAGAGCACUGAAUGUCCUAGGGGGUAUUGCACCUACCGAAGACUAUCAAACUCCGAAUGCCGUCAUCUUAUACUUGGGAGUCAGACUGUGGGUGAUAAGAUUCAUAGUCGAAAGGGCAACAGCCCAGAUCGUCAGCUAAGGUCCCUAAAUGUAAGUUAAGUGGUAAAGGAUGUGGGAUUGCACAGACAACCAGGAUGUUGGCUUAGAAGCAGCCACUCAUUCAAAGAG